CCUACGGGAGGCAGCAGUAGGGAAUCUUCCACAAUGGGCGCAAGCCUGAUGGAGCAACGCCGCGUGUGUGAUGAAGGGUUUCGGCUCGUAAAACACUGUUAUAAGAGAAGAACGGCACUGAGAGUAACUGUUCAGUGUGUGACGGUAUCUUACCAGAAAGGAACGGCUAAAUACGUGCCAGCAGCCGCGGUAAUACGUAUGUUCCAAGCGUUAUCCGGAUUUAUUGGGCGUAAAGCGAGCGCAGACGGUUAUUUAAGUCUGAAGUGAAAGCCCUCAGCUCAACUGAGGAAUGGCUUUGGAAACUGGAUGACUUGAGUGCAGUAGAGGAAAGUGGAACUCCAUGUGUAGCGGUGAAAUGCGUAGAUAUAUGGAAGAACACCAGUGGCGAAGGCGGCUUUCUGGACUGUAACUGACGUUGAGGCUCGAAAGUGUGGGUAGCA
This 440-nucleotide ribosomal RNA is filed under the name uncultured bacterium. RNAcentral describes it as "bacterial SSU rRNA". It matches the Rfam family "Bacterial small subunit ribosomal RNA", at positions 338 to 770 of the family's 1533-position model. The record is from RNAcentral.